AUCGAUAAUCCCCGUUAANUUUUACUUUAAUUAAAUAAUUUACAUAUCGCCAUCUUAAGAUUUUAUUAAAAAAUAUUCUCCAAAAAAAUCAUAAAAAGUUAGGUCAAUAUAUAAUCUACAUUAAAGAAUGAGAUGAAUUACUUUGAAUAAAAUUCAAAGAAGACAUAUAAAAUACAUGUCCAAAUAAGGAUUUAAAAGUAUUAUUGAAAAAUAAUAAUCCAAUAAGACAAAGAUAAUAAAUGUGCACACAUCGCCC
Molecule: ribosomal RNA, 256 nt
Filed under: Coelotinae sp. ZZ357
Lineage: Eukaryota; Metazoa; Arthropoda; Arachnida; Araneae; Agelenidae
Description: partial 12S ribosomal RNA
Source: RNAcentral